UACGGAGGGUGCAAGCGUUUGUCCGGAAUCACUGGGCGUAAAGGGCGCGUAGGCGGCUCAUGAAGGCUGUGGUGAAAGUCCGGGGCUCAACCUCGGAUCGGCCGUGGCGACUCGUGGGCUGGAGCACUGUAGAGGCGGGUGGAAUUCCUGGUGUAGCGGUGGAAUGCGCAGAUAUCAGGAGGAACACCGAUGGCGAAGGCAGGUCUCUGGGCAUUAACUGACGCUGAGGAGCGAAAGCAUGGGGAGCGAACAGGA
This 255-nucleotide ribosomal RNA is filed under the name uncultured bacterium. RNAcentral's name for it is "partial 16S ribosomal RNA". It matches the Rfam family "Bacterial small subunit ribosomal RNA", at positions 524 to 777 of the family's 1533-position model. The record is from RNAcentral.